GCAAGUCGAACGAGAAAGCUCUUUUCGGAGAGCGAGUAAAGUGGCGCACGGGUGAGUAACGCGUGAAUAAUCUACCCCUGAAUUUGGGAUAACAGUUCGAAAGGGCUGCUAAUACCGGAUGACAUAACCUUUACCACGGUUUGGGUUAUCAAAGAGGGCCUCUCCUUGGAAGCUCUUGUUUGGGGAUGAGUUCGCGUCCCAUUAGCUUGUUGGUGGGGUAAUGGCCUACCAAGGCAACGAUGAGUAGCUGGUCUGAGAGGAUGAUC
Molecule: ribosomal RNA, 266 nt
Filed under: uncultured bacterium
Lineage: Bacteria
Description: partial 16S ribosomal RNA
Rfam family: Bacterial small subunit ribosomal RNA
Source: RNAcentral